Molecule: long non-coding RNA, 907 nt
Filed under: Bemisia tabaci
Lineage: Eukaryota; Metazoa; Arthropoda; Insecta; Hemiptera; Aleyrodidae
Description: lncRNA ENSSSA2NGG009738
Source: RNAcentral
UAAAAACCCUAGAAGAGUUGUGGUGAGCAUAUUCUUCAGUUGGUUUUUUUACAUUUCUUCGGGGUUGACUUGGCUCCGUGUUAUUAGUUCUGUGCUGGGCAGGCAGAUAAGUGCAUUUUUCUUGGUUAACGUGUAGUGGAAGGAAACACCCUUCAAAGUGGAGUUUGUCAUGGCGAAUUCACGUCAGUAGCAAGGGUAAACGCAUCGAACAGCAGAAGCUUCCAUUUUAGGAAGCUAAACCAAAAAAGACAUGGCGGUCCUUUCGAGUCGACAAUCGACUCCAAUCAUCUUCAAAAGUCUUGUACUUUUCUGGCUCGAGGAACCAAUAGCAGAUAAGUCGACAUAUUCCACGGACCACCAGACAGGGUGAGGAUCUAAGCGCUAUCCGACAUUUUCCCUUAUACGAAACAUGUACUACACAUCAGGGAAAUGUCUAAAAUACAAUGAUAAAGAGAGAUUGGGGGUUAUUUUUUAAAUCUGAAUCAGGAAUUUCAAACACUUGGCGCGCGAAAAAACCAAAAUCAACUUUACUCAAAUCAUUUCUUCAAAGUAAAUAUUUGGUGUGGAAAUUUACCUGCGUCAUGAGCCACUUAUUUCACCAGUGUUUCCUGGGUACCUUAUUCUCCUCCUACACUAUUUGAAAAAAUAUACUGGGCUCCCAUGGUUACUGGAAAUGAGAUCGAGCCAACUGCAUCUCUUCUUUCGGGUCAAAUUUGGCUAAAUAUCAAUACAUUGGACUCGAUCUCGCCUUUCAAAGCUUUUACCAACUUUCAUUGGAUUGGACACUAAUUGACGGUAAAAAAACUCUGAUUUAUUCUAAAUUAUUUCAAUUGCCUCUUUGAAGGCGUUUCAUUUCACCUGAUCUACAAGUCAAUCGACUCGCCAUAUUAUUUUCAAUUGUUCAUGG